RNAcentral lists this ribosomal RNA (253 nucleotides) under uncultured bacterium. RNAcentral describes it as "partial 16S ribosomal RNA". It matches the Rfam family "Bacterial small subunit ribosomal RNA", at positions 524 to 776 of the family's 1533-position model. The record is from RNAcentral.
UACGAAGGGGGCUAGAGUUGUUCGGAAUGACUGGGCGUAAAGCGCACGUAGGCGGAUUGGUCAGUUGGGGGUGAAAUCCCGGGGCUCAACCUCGGAACUGCCUCCAAUACUGCCAAUCUUGAGUUCGGGAGAGGUGAGUGGAAUUCCUAGUGUAGAGGUGAAAUUCGUAGAUAUUAGGAAGAACGCCAGUGGCGAAGGAGGCUCACGGGCCCGAUACUGACGGUUAGGUGUGAAAGCGUGGGGAGCAAACAGG